Molecule: ribosomal RNA, 468 nt
Filed under: uncultured bacterium
Lineage: Bacteria
Description: partial 16S ribosomal RNA
Rfam family: Bacterial small subunit ribosomal RNA
Source: RNAcentral
GACGAACGCUGGCGGCGUGCUUAACACAUGCAAGUCGAACGGAAAGGCCCUGCUUUUGUGGUGGGCUCGAGUGGCGAACGGGUGAGUAACACGUGAGUAACCUGCCCUUGACUUUGGGAUAACUUCAGGAAACUGGGGCUAAUACCGGAUAGGAGCUCCUGCUGCAUGGUGGGGGUUGGAAAGUUUCGGCGGUUGGGGAUGGACUCGCGGCUUAUCAGCUUGUUGGUGGGGUAGUGGCUUACCAAGGCUUUGACGGGUAGCCGGCCUGAGAGGGUGACCGGCCACAUUGGGACUGAGAUACGGCCCAGCCUCCUCCGGGAGGCAGCAGUGGGGAAUAUUGCACAAUGGGCGGAAGCCUGAUGCAGCAACGCCGCGUGCGGGAUGACGGCCUUCGGGUUGUAAACCGCUUUCGCCUGUGACGAAGCGUGAGUGACGGUAAUGGGUAAAGAAGCACCGGCUAACUACGUG